AGAGUUUGAUCCUGGCUCAGGAUGAACGCUAGCGGCGGGCUUAAUACAUGCAAGUCAAGGGGUAGCAAUACACCGGCGUACGGGUGCGUAACGCGUAUGGAACCUGCCCUUAUCUGGGGGAUAACUCGGGGAAACUCGAGCUAAUACCGCAUAAGAUAGUAGAAUGGCAUCAUUCAGCUAUUAAAGAUUUAUUGGAUAAGGAUGGCCAUGCGUAAGAUUAGAUAGUUGGCGAGGUAACGGCUCACCAAGUCUACGAUCUUUAGGGGCUCUGAGAGGAGAAUCCCCCACACUGGCACUGAGAUACGGGCCAGACUCCUACGGGAGGCAGCAGUAGGGAAUAUUGGGCAAUGGGCGGAAGCCUGACCCAGCCACGCCGCGUGCAGGAAGACGGCCCUCUGGGUUGUAAACUGCUUUUAACUGGGAAGAAAAGAGGCCUUGCGAGGCAAGUUGACGGUACCAGUUGAAUAAGCCACGGCUAACUACGUGCCAGCAGCCGCGGUAAUACGUAGGUGGCGAGCGUUAUCCGGAUUUAUUGGGUUUAAAGGGAGCGUANGCGGCUGAUUAAGUCAGCGGUGAAAGGUAGCAG
This 586-nucleotide ribosomal RNA is filed under the name uncultured freshwater bacterium. RNAcentral's name for it is "bacterial SSU rRNA". It matches the Rfam family "Bacterial small subunit ribosomal RNA", at positions 8 to 607 of the family's 1533-position model. The record is from RNAcentral.